ACAAAUUUUAGUAUCAAAACAUCCCAUGAAUUAUCACUAGUAUACCAACCUUAGUUCAAGAAACGUGAGGAACAGAAGCUAAAUGUCGUUCCAGAAAAACCUUCAUAAGAUCGAUUUCGUUCAUCAAUUCAAAACGCAGAAGCUUAAUCCGAGUUUUGGAGUUCUAAGUUCAAUCCACGAAGGUUUCCAACAGAAUAUUAUACGGAGAUUUCCUACUCCAGGUAUGUUAAGGCUAUCCCUUUUUUCUUUUGUCAUGAUCCAUACGAUACGAACGAAACGUGCAAAUGCACAAAUUCCAUAAAUGACUCUAUUCAUAGAAGUAUUAUAGAUAUCUAUGUUCUUGAAUUUCCAUGUGUCAUAAUAUUUUAUCAUCUGUUCAUGGGUCUCAGAAAAAUACGAAAGUUGAAAUGAGUUUAUUUUAUGAUAUACUCAAAGGCAAAAUGGUCUUAUGACAUUUCAAAAGANNNNNNNNNNNNNNNNNNNNNNNNNAUACGCACCACCACCUGAUCAGCUGGUAUACGUUGAUGAUUUUUGUCCACAGUGACCGAUAUGAUACGAUGGGAUGCCCUCAGAGGCUGAUGAUGUUAUGAGACAUGUACCUAUGCACGACAUGACAUUCAUACACAUAUGCAUGACGCUAAAAGUAUUUCAUGAUUUACAGAGUUAUUUAGACUUACAGGUUGAGUCAAGUACUCUAUAUUUCUUUCAUGUUUGUUAUGUACUUAUUUAUGUGCCUUACAUACUCGGUAAAUUUUUAGUACUGACGUCCCUUUUGCCUGGAGAUGCUGUGUUUCAUGCCCGCAGGCCUCGAUAGACAGGCCGAGAGCCUUCAAAGUAGGCUAUCAGCUCAUCGGAAGAUGUUGGUGCGCUCCAUUUGCUUCGGAGUUGCUUGUUUGGCUGGUAUGAUUUAGACGUGUAUUGUUUGGUAUGGCGGGACUCUAUCCCGACCUUUAUGACAUUUAUGUACUCUUAGAGACUUGCAGACAUAUGUCGUGUACGUGAAAGAUUGUACGGCCUUGUCGGCCUAUGUUUUGAGUUUAUAAAUAAUCAUGUUGGCCUGUUAGGCCCGUAUGUCACGU
RNAcentral lists this long non-coding RNA (1079 nucleotides) under Nicotiana tabacum (common tobacco). RNAcentral's name for it is "long non-coding RNA (NTAB_LNC012979)". The record is from RNAcentral. Lineage: Eukaryota; Viridiplantae; Streptophyta; Magnoliopsida; Solanales; Solanaceae.